AGUCGAGGGGCAGCGGGGGAUGCGUUCGCGCAUUCUGCCGGCGACCGGCGCACGGGUGAGUAACACGUAUGCAACCUGCCCCGUCCAGGGGGAUAAUCGGCGGAAACGCCGUCUAAUACCGCGUAUAUCGAUUCCGGGCAUCCGGGAUUGAAGAAAGGGCCUUAGGGUCCGGGACGGGAUGGGCAUGCGGCGCAUUAGGAAGUUGGCGGUGUAACGGACCACCAAUCCGUCGAUGCGUAGGGGUUCUGAGAGGAAGGCCCCCCACACUGGUACUGAGACACGGACCAGACUCCUACGGGAGGCAGCAGUGAGGAAUAUUGGUCAAUGGGCGGGAGCCUGAACCAGCCAAGUCGCGUGAGGGAAGAAGGUACUGAGUAUUGUAAACCUCUUUUGCCAGGGGACAAAGGCGGCCACGGGUGGCCGUAAGAGGGUACCUGGAGAAAAAGCAUCGGCUAACUCCGUGCCAGCAGCCGCGGUAAUACGGAGGAUGCGAGCGUUAUCCGGAUUUAUUGGGUUUAAAGGGUGCGCAGGCGGCGUGUCAAGUCAGCGGUAAAAUGUCGGGGCUCAACCCCGGCCGGCCGUUGAAACUGGCGUGCUCGAGUUGGAGAGAAGUAUGCGGAAUUCGUGGUGUAGCGGUGAAAUGCAUAGAUAUCACGAAGAACCCCGAUUGCGAAGGCAGCAUACCGGCUCCACACUGACGCUGAGGCACGAAAGCGUGGGUAUCGAACAGGAUUAGAUACCCUGGUAGUCCACGCAGUAAACGAUGAAUGCUAGGUGUCCGGGGCUUUGUGUCCUGGGUGCCACAGCGAAAGCGUU
Molecule: ribosomal RNA, 816 nt
Filed under: uncultured bacterium
Lineage: Bacteria
Description: bacterial SSU rRNA
Rfam family: Bacterial small subunit ribosomal RNA
Source: RNAcentral